Molecule: non-coding RNA, 45 nt
Filed under: Schistosoma haematobium
Lineage: Eukaryota; Metazoa; Platyhelminthes; Trematoda; Strigeidida; Schistosomatidae
Source: RNAcentral
AUCCAGCUGACAAGUCCCAUAUAGGACGAAACGCGCGUCCUGGAU